ACAUGCAAGUCGAGCGGAUGAGAAGAGCUUGCUCUUCGAUUCAGCGGCGGACGGGUGAGUAAUGCCUAGGAAUCUGCCUGGUAGUGGGGGACAACGUUUCGAAAGGAAGCUAAUACCGCAUACGUCCUACGGGAGAAAGCAGGGGACCUUCGGGCCUUGCGCUAUCAGAUGAGCCUAGGUCGGAUUAGCUAGUUGGUGAGGUAAUGGCUCACCAAGGCUACGAUCCGUAACUGUCUGAGAGGAUGAUCAGUCACACUGGAACUGAGACACGGUCCAGACUCCUACGGGAGGCAGCAGUGGGGAAUAUUGGACAAUGGGCGAAAGCCUGAUCCAGCCAUGCCGCGUGUGUGAAGAAGGUCUUAGGAUCGUAAAGCACUUUAAGUUGGGAGGAAGGGCAGUAACUUAAUACGUUGCUGUUUUGACGUUACCGACAGAAUAAGCACCGGCUAACUCUGUGCCAGCAGCCGCGGUAAUACAGAGGGUGCAACGUUAAUCGGAAUUACUGGGCGUAAAGCGCGCGUAGGUUGGUUCGUUAAGUUGGAUGUGAAAUCCCCGGGCUCAACCUGGGAACUGCAUUCAAAACUGGUCGAGCUAGAAUAUGGUAAAAGGGUGGGGAAUUUCCUGUGUAGCGGUGAAAUGCGUAGAUAUAGGAAGGAACACCAGUGGCGAAGGCAACCACCUGGACUGGAUACUGGACACUGAGGUGCGA
This 709-nucleotide ribosomal RNA is filed under the name uncultured Gammaproteobacteria bacterium. RNAcentral describes it as "bacterial SSU rRNA". It matches the Rfam family "Bacterial small subunit ribosomal RNA", at positions 53 to 756 of the family's 1533-position model. Lineage: Bacteria; Pseudomonadati; Pseudomonadota; Gammaproteobacteria. The record is from RNAcentral.